This 254-nucleotide long non-coding RNA is filed under the name Citrus maxima (pomelo). RNAcentral describes it as "long non-coding RNA (CMAX_LNC003994)". Lineage: Eukaryota; Viridiplantae; Streptophyta; Magnoliopsida; Sapindales; Rutaceae. The record is from RNAcentral.
CCCAAAAUAGUGACACACCUGGUUUCAUCAACUGUGAUCUUUGAACAAUAGCAAGUGUUUUCUUCAGUGUGUGAAAUGGCGAAUUAUAGCAUGGCUAGGGUUUUUUUGGCACGACAAUAAGUUAUAGUGGAUGUCUUAAUUUCAAGCAGCUAAGGUUUGGGUAUUAUCUCACGACAAGGGUUUGGGUUUCCUGGGUUAUGAAAGGUUUAUUGGUGGCAGAGAGUGUCGGCGGUGAGUAAGUGAAGAUUUGGGUC